AGUGAACGCUGGCGGUAGGCCUAACACAUGCAAGUCGAACGGCAGCACAGUAAGAGCUUGCUCUUACGGGUGGCGAGUGGCGGACGGGUGAGGAAUACAUCGGAAUCUACUUUUUCGUGGGGGAUAACGUAGGGAAACUUACGCUAAUACCGCAUACGACCUACGGGUGAAAGCAGGGGAUCUUCGGACCUUGCGCGAUUGAAUGAGCCGAUGUCGGAUUAGCUAGUUGGCGGGGUAAAGGCCCACCAAGGCGACGAUCCGUAGCUGGUGUGGGAGGAUGAUCAGCCACACUGGAACUGAGACACGGUCCAGACUCCUACGGGAGGCAGCAGUGGGGAAUAUUGGACAAUGGGCGCAAGCCUUAUCCAGCCAUACCGCGUGGGUGAAGAAGGCCUUCGGGUUGUGAAGCCCGUUUGUUGGGAAAGAAAAGCAGCAGGUUAAUACCCCGCUGUUCUGACGGUACCCAAAGAAUAAGCACCGGCUAACUUCGUG
This 492-nucleotide ribosomal RNA is filed under the name uncultured bacterium. RNAcentral describes it as "partial 16S ribosomal RNA". It matches the Rfam family "Bacterial small subunit ribosomal RNA", at positions 29 to 507 of the family's 1533-position model. The record is from RNAcentral.